UGGGGAAUCUUGCGCAAUGGCCGCAAGGCUGACGCAGCGACGCCGCGUGGGGGAGGAAGGGCUUCGGCUCGUAAACCCCUGUUGCCCGGGGCGAACAUCCCUUUUCGAGGGGACUGACGGUACCGGGUGAGGAAGCACCGGCUAACUCCGUGCCAGCAGCCGCGGUAAUACGGAGGGUGCGAGCGUUGUCCGGAAUCACUGGGCGUAAAGGGCGCGUAGGUGGCCGAGCAAGGUCGCGGUGAAAGCCCGGGGCUCAACCCCGGGUCGGCCGUGGCAACUACUUGGCUUGAGCACUGUAGGGGCGGGUGGAAUUCCGGGUGUAGCGGUGGAAUGCGUAGAGAUCCGGAAGAACACCGGUGGCGAAGGCGGCCCGCUGGGCAGGAAGACGGAGCAAUCCGUCGGCUGACACUGAGGCGCGACAGCGUGGGGAGCAAACAGGAUUAGAUACCCUGGUAGUCCACGCCGUAAACGAUGGGCACUAGGUGCCUGGGGGAGCGACCCUCCGGGUGCCGGCGCUAACGCAUUAAGUGCCCCGCCUGGGGAGUACGGCCGCAAGGCUGA
Molecule: ribosomal RNA, 561 nt
Filed under: uncultured Gemmatimonas sp.
Lineage: Bacteria; Pseudomonadati; Gemmatimonadota; Gemmatimonadia; Gemmatimonadales; Gemmatimonadaceae
Description: bacterial SSU rRNA
Rfam family: Bacterial small subunit ribosomal RNA
Source: RNAcentral